CUUUUCCAAAGCAUUAAAAUUCUAGCAUGGCACUACUUAAGCUUAGUGUUGUCCUAGCUAUCUUUCUCCUGGCGUCCACAAUUAAUUCAAAUACGCAACUCGUGGCUGCACGGGAUGUUGAUCGUGAUCUCACAGAAGUUAAGAGACGACUACUCCCACAACUUAAUACUUGCUUUAGAGCUUGUACUUCAAUUGAUGAAUGCCGUGUCGAUUGUUGGACUUGUUGUAUCUGCACAUCGAUUUUGGGUUCCUCUAAAUUCUGUUACAUGUGAUAAUAUGGCCAAUAUAUUGCAACGAACUCUUGCUACAGGAACAAUAAAUUUGAAUAAAAAGGCUGCAGGCCUUGCUGGCUUUUCAAUUUAGUACUUGAAUAAUGUGUGAUAUUUAUUUAUGAAUGUACCGCAUGUGGAAUCUAUUAUCUAGGUUCCUUUGUCUUGUUUGUACCAGUAAUAAUAUUUAUAAUUCUGCA
Molecule: long non-coding RNA, 469 nt
Organism: Nicotiana tabacum (common tobacco)
Lineage: Eukaryota; Viridiplantae; Streptophyta; Magnoliopsida; Solanales; Solanaceae
Source: RefSeq, a predicted model, not a curated record